UACGUAGGGUGCAAGCGUUGUCCGGAAUUAUUGGGCGUAAAGAGCUCGUAGGCGGUCUGUCGCGUCUGCUGUGAAAACUCAGGGCUUAACCCUGAGCUUGCAGUGGGUACGGGCAGACUAGAGUGCGGUAGGGGAGACUGGAAUUCCUGGUGUAGCGGUGAAAUGCGCAGAUAUCAGGAGGAACACCGGUGGCGAAGGCGGGUCUCUGGGCCGUAACUGACGCUGAGGAGCGGAGAGCAUGGGGAGCGAAACAGG
Molecule: ribosomal RNA, 255 nt
Filed under: uncultured bacterium
Lineage: Bacteria
Description: partial 16S ribosomal RNA
Rfam family: Bacterial small subunit ribosomal RNA
Source: RNAcentral